This 384-nucleotide ribosomal RNA is filed under the name Triticum aestivum (bread wheat). Its description in RNAcentral is "partial small subunit ribosomal RNA". The record is from RNAcentral. Lineage: Eukaryota; Viridiplantae; Streptophyta; Magnoliopsida; Poales; Poaceae.
CAGCGAAGGAGUUGGCCAAAUUGUAAUCUUUGUCCUCUUUGCAAGCAAACUCCGGAAUCGGGGGCACACCUUCUUUUUGAAUGCCGCUACACCAUCCAUGUGUGGAGAAUGAUUAAAUCUUGGCUCGGUUUACAAGAUGUACACCCAGCGAACUGGGGUGGUUUGACUUCUGUCAAGGAGUGGUGGUGUGCCAAUGCUUCUAGGACCUCACGACCACGAAGGGCGUUGACUUCCAUUAUGCUACUGAUUUCUUGGGAAAUAUGGAAAGAGCGAAAUGCAUGUCUGUUCCUAACAACGCAAUUCCGGUGGGUGUGCUUAUUGCUCGAAUCAAAGAGGAAGCCUCAUGGUGGUGCCAUGCCGGGGCAAAAUAUUUUUGCAAUGUAA